RNAcentral lists this ribosomal RNA (423 nucleotides) under uncultured bacterium. RNAcentral's name for it is "bacterial SSU rRNA". It matches the Rfam family "Bacterial small subunit ribosomal RNA", at positions 355 to 775 of the family's 1533-position model. The record is from RNAcentral.
UAAGGAAUAUUGGGCAAUGGACGCAAGUCUGACCCAGCCAUGCCGCGUGAAGGAAGACGGCCCUAUGGGUUGUAAACUUCUUUUCUCAGGGGGUAAACUCUGGAACGUGUUCCGGACUGAAAGUACCUGAGGAAUAAGCAUCGGCUAACUCCGUGCCAGCAGCCGCGGUAAUACGGAGGAUGCGAGCGUUAUCCGGAUUCAUUGGGUUUAAAGGGUGCGCAGGCGGAUAUAUAAGUCGGAGGUGAAAUUCUGAUGCUCAACAUCAGCCGUGCCUUCGAUACUGUAUAUCUAGAGUCAAGUUGGAGUAGGCGGAAUGUGUUGUGUAGCGGUGAAAUGCUUAGAUAUAACACAGAACACCGAUCGCGAAGGCAGCUUACUAAACUUUGACUGACGCUCAUGCACGAAAGCGUGGGGAUCAAACAG